AUGAACGCUAGCGACAGGCUAACACAUGCAAGUCGAGGGGUAACAGGGUAGCAAUACCGCUGACGACCGGCGGCACGGGUGAGUAACGCGUAUGCAACCUGCCUAUAACUGGGGAAUAGCUCCCUGAAAGGGGAAUUAACACCGCAUAACACUAUUGAUUCGCAUGAAUUGGUAGUUAAAUGUAGCGAUACAGGUUAUAGAUGGGCAUGCGUGACAUUAGCUAGUUGGUGAGGUAACGGCUCACCAAGGCUACGAUGUCUAGGGGUUCUGAGAGGAAGGUCCCCCCACACUGGUACUGAGACACGGACCAGACUCCUACGGGAGGCAGCAGUGAGGAAUAUUGGUCAAUGGGCGCAAGCCUGAACCAGCCAUGUCGCGUGCAGGAAGAACCUGCCCUAUGGGUUGUAAACUGCUUUUAUAGUAGAAGAAACACAUCUACGAGUAGAUGUCUGCCAGUAUACUAUGAAUAAGCAUCGGCUAACUCCGUGCCAGCCGCCGC
This 499-nucleotide ribosomal RNA is filed under the name uncultured bacterium. Its description in RNAcentral is "bacterial SSU rRNA". It matches the Rfam family "Bacterial small subunit ribosomal RNA", at positions 29 to 518 of the family's 1533-position model. The record is from RNAcentral.